This 370-nucleotide ribosomal RNA is filed under the name Alytes obstetricans pertinax. Its description in RNAcentral is "partial 12S ribosomal RNA". It matches the Rfam family "Bacterial small subunit ribosomal RNA", at positions 847 to 1385 of the family's 1533-position model. Lineage: Eukaryota; Metazoa; Chordata; Amphibia; Anura; Alytidae. The record is from RNAcentral.
CAUUGACAACUUACAUUAUUUCAUCCGCCCGGGAACUACGAGCCGCAGCUUAAAACCCAAAGGACUUGGCGGUGCCCCAAACCCACCUAGAGGAGCCUGUUCUAUAAUCGAUACCCCCCGCUUAACCUCACCACCCCUCGCCAGCAGCCUAUAUACCACCGUCGCCAGCCCACCUCAUGAGAGAAAACAAGUAGGCAUAAUGGUAACCACCAAAACGUCAGGUCAAGGUGUAGCCUAUGGGGCGGAAAGCAAUGGGCUACACUUUCUACACAGAAAACUACGAAAGACUAUUAUGAAAUCUAGUCUGAAGGCGGAUUUAGUAGUAAAAAGAUUCAAGAGUGUUCUUUUUAAUCUGGCCCUGGGGCGCGCA